AGUGCAUAUGGUGGAUGCCUUGGCGAUUACAGGCGAUGAAGGACGUGAUAGCCUGCGUAAAGUUUCGGGGAGCUGGCAAAUAAGCUUUGAUCCGGAAAUGUCCGAAUGGGGAAACCCACCCGCAAGGGUAACCGCUCCUGAAUAUAUAGGGAGAUGGUGGCAAACCGAGUGAACUGAAACAUCUAAGUAGCUCGAGGAAAAGAAAUCAACCGAGAUUCCGUAAGUAGUGGCGAGCGAACAUGGAAUAGCCUGUUAUUUUUAGCACAUGCGAUAGUAGAACGGAAUGGAAAGUCCGGCCAUAGAGGGUGAUAGCCCCUUAUACGAAAUCCCGUGUGUGGAACUAGGGUAACGACAAGUAGGGCGGGGCACGAGAAACCUUGUCUGAACAUGGGGGGACCAUCCUCCAAGGCUAAAUACUCGUAAUCGACCGAUAGUGAACCAGUACCGUGAGGGAAAGGCGAAAAGAACCCCGGGAGGGGAGUGAAAUAGAUCCUGAAACCGUAUGCAUACAAACAGUGGGAGCGGACUUGUUCCGUGACUGCGUACCUUUUGUAUAAUGGGUCAGCGACUUACAUUCAGUAGCAAGCUUAACCGAUAGGGGAGGCGUAGCGAAAGCGAGUCCGAAUAGGGCGUCUAGUUGCUGGGUGUAGACCCGAAACCAAGUGAUCUAUCCAUGGCCAGGAUGAAGGUGCCGUAACAGGUACUGGAGGUCCGAACCCACAAAUGUUGAAAAAUUUGGGGAUGAGCUGUGGAUAGGGGUGAAAGGCUAAACAAACUUGGAAAUAGCUGGUUCUCUCCGAAAACUAUUUAGGUAGUGCCUCGUAUAUCAUUCUCGGGGGUAGAGCACUGUUAUGGCUAGGGGGUUCAUAAGAACUUACCAAACCAUUGCAAACUCCGAAUACUGAGAAAUGCAAUUACGGGAGACAGACCAUGGGUGCUAACGUCCGUGGUCAAGAGGGAAACAACCCAGACCGACAGCUAAGGUCCCAAAUGACGUGCUAAGUGGAAAACGAAGUGGGAAGGCAUAGACAGCCAGGAUGUUGGCUUAGAAGCAGCCAUCAUUUAAAGAAAGCGUAAUAGCUCACUGGUCGAGUCGUCCUGCGCGGAAGAUGUAACGGGGCUAAGCACGUAACCGAAGCUUCGGAUGCUGCAUUCUUCGGAAUGUAUGCAUGGUAGGAGAGCGUUCUGUAGGCCUGCGAAGGUGUUCUGUGAGGAAUGCUGGAGGUAUCAGAAGUGCGAAUGCUGACAUGAGUAGCGAUAAAGGGAGUGAAAAGCUCCCUCGCCGAAAACCCAAGGUUUCCUGCGCAACGUUCAUCGGCGCAGGGUGAGUCGGCCCCUAAGGUGAGGCAGAGAUGCGUAGCUGAUGGGAAACAGGUUAAUAUUCCUGUACCUGUAUACAAUGCGAUGUGGGGACGGAGAAGGUUAGGUCAGCCGGGUGUUGGAUGUCCCGGUUCAAGCGUGUAGGCAGAUUCUUUAGGCAAAUCCGGAGAGUCAAUGCUGAGGCGUGAUAACGAGCGUACUUGUACGUGAAGUGAUUGAUACCAUGCUUCCAAGAAAAGCCACUAAGCUUCAGUUGUAUAGAGACCGUACCGCAAACCGACACAGGUGGGUAGGAUGAGAAUUCUAAGGCGCUUGAGAGAACCCGGGAGAAGGAACUCGGCAAAUUAGCACCGUAACUUCGGGAGAAGGUGCGCCCCGGUAGGUUGUAGAGAUUUACUCUCGAAGGCCGAUGGGGUUGCAGUGAAAAGGUGGCUGCGACUGUUUAAUAAAAACACAGCACUCUGCAAACACGAAAGUGGACGUAUAGGGUGUGACGCCUGCCCGGUGCUGGAAGAUUAAAUGAUGGGGUGCAAGCUCUUGAUUGAAGUCCCAGUAAACGGCGGCCGUAACUAUAACGGUCCUAAGGUAGCGAAAUUCCUUGUCGGGUAAGUUCCGACCCGCACGAAUGGCGUAACGAUGGCCACACUGUCUCCUCUCGGGACUCAGCGAAGUUGAAAUGUUUGUGAAGAUGCAAUCUACCCGCGGCUAGACGGAAAGACCCCAUGAACCUUUACUGUAGCUUUACAUUGGACUUUGACAAGAUUUGUGUAGGAUAGGUGGGAGACUAUGAAGCGGUGUCGCUAGAUAUCGUGGAGUCAACCUUGAAAUA
Molecule: ribosomal RNA, 2149 nt
Filed under: Methylotenera mobilis 13
Lineage: Bacteria; Pseudomonadati; Pseudomonadota; Betaproteobacteria; Nitrosomonadales; Methylophilaceae
Description: bacterial LSU rRNA
Rfam family: Bacterial large subunit ribosomal RNA
Source: RNAcentral